GAUGAACGCUGGCGGCGUGCCUAAUACAUGCAAGUCGAGCGAACACACGAGGAACUUGCUCGUCUGACGUUAGCGGCGGACGUGUGAGUAACACAUGGAUAACCUCCCUAUAAGACUGGGAUCACUUCGGGAAACCGGAGCGCAUACCGGAUAAUAUAGUGAACCGCGUGGUUCAAUAGUGCAAGAGGGUGUUGCUGUCGCUUAUAGAUGAGUCCGUUCCUGAUUAGGUAGUUGGUAAGGUAACGGCUCACCAAGGCAACGAUGCGUAGCCGACCUGAGAGGAUGAUCAGCCACGCUGGAACUGAGACACGGCCCAGACUCCUACGGGAGGCAGCAGUGGGGAAUUUUGGACAAUGGGCGAAAGCCUGAUCGAGCAAUGCCGCGUGAAUGAAGAAGGUCUUCGGAUCGUAAACUUCUGUUGUUCGGGACGAACAAAUGCUUAUGUAACCCCGGACGUAAUGACGGUACCUAAACAGAAAGCCCCGGCUAACUACGUG
Molecule: ribosomal RNA, 497 nt
Filed under: uncultured bacterium
Lineage: Bacteria
Description: partial 16S ribosomal RNA
Rfam family: Bacterial small subunit ribosomal RNA
Source: RNAcentral